GGGCGAAUGGUUUAGUGGUAUAAUACUCCCUUAGCAAGAACUACUUCAUCUGGGAGUGGUCCAGGGUUCGAUUCCCUGUUCGUCCA
Molecule: non-coding RNA, 86 nt
Organism: Claviceps pusilla
Lineage: Eukaryota; Fungi; Ascomycota; Sordariomycetes; Hypocreales; Clavicipitaceae
Source: the annotation of a GenBank genome assembly